GUGCCAGCAGCCGCGGUAAUACGUAGGGCGCGAGCGUUAUCCGGAAUUAUUGGGCGUAAAGAGCUCGUAGGCGGUUUGUCGCGUCUGCUGUGAAAGCCCGGGGCUUAAACCCCGGGUGUGCAGUGGGUACGGGCAGACUAGAGUGCAGUAGGGGAGACUGGAAUUCCUUGGUGUAGCGGUGAAAUGCGCAGAUAUCAGGAGGAACACCGAUGGCGAAGGCAGGUCUCUGGGCUGUUACUGACGCUGAGGAGCGAAAGCAUGGGGAGCGAACAGGAUUAGAUACCCUGGUAGUCC
RNAcentral lists this ribosomal RNA (294 nucleotides) under uncultured microorganism. RNAcentral's name for it is "partial 16S ribosomal RNA". It matches the Rfam family "Bacterial small subunit ribosomal RNA", at positions 505 to 796 of the family's 1533-position model. The record is from RNAcentral.